This 65-nucleotide transfer RNA is filed under the name Elateridae sp. 1 ACP-2013. RNAcentral's name for it is "tRNA-Asp". Lineage: Eukaryota; Metazoa; Arthropoda; Insecta; Coleoptera; Elateridae. The record is from RNAcentral.
AAAACUUAGUUAAAACAUAACGUUAGUUUGUCAAACUAAAAUUAUUAAAAAUUAAUAGUUUUUGA